AGUUCAUAUCGACGGCGGUGUUUGGCACCUCGAUGUCGGCUCAUCUCAUCCUGGGGCUGAAGCAGGUCCCAAGGGUAUGGCUGUUCGCCAUUUAAAGAGGUACGCGAGCUGGGUUUAGAACGUCGUGAGACAGUUCGGUCCCUAUCUACCGUGGGCGCUGGAAAUUUGAGAGGAUCUGCUCCUAGUACGAGAGGACCAGAGUGGACGAACCUCUGGUGUACCGGUUGUGACGCCAGUCGCAUCGCCGGGUAGCUAUGUUCGGAAGGGAUAACCGCUGAAAGCAUCUAAGCGGGAAGCCUACCUCAAGAUAAGAUUUCCCUAGGACUUUAUGUCCUCUAAAGAGCCGUUCGAGACUAGGACGUUGAUAGGUUGGAUGUGGAAGCAUAGUGAUAUGUGAAGCUGACCAAUACUAAUUGCUCGUGAGGCUUGACUAUACAACACCCAAGCAGUUG
This 452-nucleotide ribosomal RNA is filed under the name Acinetobacter baumannii. RNAcentral describes it as "partial 23S ribosomal RNA". It matches the Rfam family "Bacterial large subunit ribosomal RNA", at positions 2497 to 2925 of the family's 2925-position model. The record is from RNAcentral. Lineage: Bacteria; Pseudomonadati; Pseudomonadota; Gammaproteobacteria; Moraxellales; Moraxellaceae.